UGAUUAUGACGUACUUGUACUGAUUGAGAUUUUAACACGAAGUGAGUGGCGAACGGGUGAGUAACACGUGGGUAACCUGCCCAGAAGUAGGGGAUAACACCUGGUAAACAGAUGCUAAUACCGUAUAACAGAGAAAACCGCAUGGUUUUCUUUUAAAAGAUGGCUCUGCUAUCACUUCUGGAUGGACCCGCGGCGUAUUAGCUAGUUGGUGAGGUAAAGGCUCACCAAGGCAGUGAUACGUAGCCGACCUGAGAGGGUAAUCGGCCACAUUGGGACUGAGACACGGCCCAGACUCCUACGGGAGGCAGCAGUAGGGAAUCUUCCACAAUGGACGCAAGUCUGAUGGAGCAACGCCGCGUGAGUGAAGAAGGGUUUCGGCUCGUAAAGCUCUGUUGUUAAAGAAGAACGUGGGUAAGAGUAACUGUUUACCCAGUGACGGUAUUUAACCAGAAAGCCACGGCUAACUACGUGCCAGCAGCCGCGGUAAUACGUAGGUGGCAAGCGUUAUCCGGAUUUAUUGGGCGUAAAGCGAGCGCAGGCGGUCUUUUAAGUCUAAUGUGAAAGCCUUCGGCUCAACCGAAGAAGUGCAUUGGAAACUGGGAGACUUGAGUGCAGAAGAGGACAGUGGAACUCCAUGUGUAGCGGUGAAAUGCGUAGAUAUAUGGAAGAACACCAGUGGCGAAGGCGGCUGUCUGGUCUGCAACUGACGCUGAGGCUCGAAAGCAUGGGUAGCGAACAGGAUUAGAUACCCUGGUAGUCCAUGCCGUAAACGAUGAUUACUAAGUGUUGGAGGGUUUCCGCCCUUCAGUGCUGCAGCUAACGCAUUAAGUAAUCCGCCUGGGGAGUACGACCGCAAGGUUGAAACUCAAAAGAAUUGACGGGGGCCCGCACAAGCGGUGGAGCAUGUGGUUUAAUUCGAAGCUACGCGAAGAACCUUACCAGGUCUUGACAUCUUCUGACAGUCUAAGAGAUUAGAGGUUCCCUUCGGGGACAGAAUGACAGGUGGUGCAUGGUUGUCGUCAGCUCGUGUCGUGAGAUGUUGGGUUAAGUCCCGCAACGAGCGCAACCCUUAUUACUAGUUGCCAGCAUUAAGUUGGGCMCUCUAGUGAGACUGCCGGUGACAAACCGGAGGAAGGUGGGGACGACGUCAAAUCAUCAUGCCCCUUAUGACCUGGGCU
This 1178-nucleotide ribosomal RNA is filed under the name Pediococcus pentosaceus. RNAcentral's name for it is "bacterial SSU rRNA". Lineage: Bacteria; Bacillati; Bacillota; Bacilli; Lactobacillales; Lactobacillaceae. The record is from RNAcentral.